This 373-nucleotide unclassified non-coding RNA is filed under the name uncultured fungus. RNAcentral's name for it is "sequence contains ITS2". The record is from RNAcentral. Lineage: Eukaryota; Fungi.
AACGCAACUUGCGCUUUUGGGUAUCCCUGAAAGCAUACCUCUCUGAGUAUCGUUUCAACACAAACUCGACUGCGUGCGUCUGUAAAAAGACGUAUUUUAGUCGGUAAAUGAGUUGUCUCAGCGUCGAAGCGCUGAGUCACUUGAAGCGAAUAUCACUUCCAUAUAUCAAUUCGAUUCAGGUUUCGACUUGACUAAUUGAUGUUUGAUAAUUGACCUUUGUGUCAUUUACUAUCGCAUCGAUUUAGUAGAAAUGAAUAAUGGUGUGCAUAACAAGGAACCUUUAAAGACCAACGCUGACUUUUUUUCGAAAAAGCGGUUGUGUGUCUUUUCUGAUCUUGAUCUCAGAUGAAGUAAGAGAACCCGCCGAAUUUAA